GUAGGGAAUAUUGGACAAUGGGCGAAAGCCUGAUCCAGCCAUGCCGCGUGAUAGAUGAAGGCCCUCUGGGUUGUAAAUAUCUUUUAUCUGGGAAGAAACUCCUCUAUUCUUAGAGGCCUGACGGUACCAGAGGAAUAAGCACCGGCUAACUCCGUGCCAGCAGCCGCGGUAAUACGGAGGGUGCAAGCGUUAUCCGGAUUCACUGGGUUUAAAGGGUGCGUAGACGGGUUGAUAAGUCAGUGGUGAAAGCUCCGGGCUUAACUUGGAAACUGCCAUUGAUACUGUCAAUCUUGAAUGUCGUAGAGGUAAGCGGAAUGUUGCAUGUAGCGGUGAAAUGCUUAGAUAUGUUACAGAACACCAAUUGCGAAGGCAGCUUACUAUGCGAUAAUUGACGCUGAGGCACGAAAGCGUGGGGAGCAAACAGGAUUAGAAACCCGAGUAGUCC
This 445-nucleotide ribosomal RNA is filed under the name uncultured bacterium. RNAcentral's name for it is "partial 16S ribosomal RNA". It matches the Rfam family "Bacterial small subunit ribosomal RNA", at positions 354 to 796 of the family's 1533-position model. The record is from RNAcentral.